Molecule: long non-coding RNA, 425 nt
Organism: Sorghum bicolor (sorghum)
Lineage: Eukaryota; Viridiplantae; Streptophyta; Magnoliopsida; Poales; Poaceae
Exons: 2
Source: RefSeq, a predicted model, not a curated record
CUUCACCACCUGUUUCUUCAGUCAAAGUCUGCUUCCCUCAAGAUUUGGCCACCGGUGUUGUCUCCUUCAAAUCUGAAUAGAUUUUCUAGGCAACUGGUACUUCUCAUGCUGCCUCAGAAUCUGCCAACAAUGCCAAUGAUUUUGGGCACACCAAUGAAGACCUUCAUGUUGCAUAUGUUGCCAACAAUCAAGGUUCCGACAACAAUGGAGAUCAUGCAUCGAUUUGAUGCUGCUGUUUCAUUGCAAUACAUGGAUGUGAUGGUGGUUUCUUCUUUUGUAGUGUUGUGCUUUUGCACAUUAACUAGUAGGAGGCUCUAAUCUUUAGUUGUGGUAAUGCUUUUGAAUGUAACUAGUAGCGCUCUAAUCUUUAGCAGUGGUCUUACUUAUAUGACUCAAUGAUGCGCUGGUAGUUUAGUCAUCUUGGU